GAGUUUGAUCUUGGCUCAGAACGAACGCUGGCGGCGUGCUUAACACAUGCAAGUCGAACGUGAUCCAGAGCUUGCUCUGGUGAAAGUGGCGCACGGGUGAGUAACGCGUGGAUAACCUGCCCUGGUACCUGGGAUAACAUCUCGAAAGGGGUGCUAAUACCGGAUAAGCCUACGGGAUCUUCGGAUUCUGCAGGAAAAGGAGGCCUCUAUUUAUAAGCUUCCGUAUCAUGAUGGGUCCGCGUACCAUUAGCUAGUUGGUGGGGUAAUGGCCUACCAAGGCGACGAUGGUUAGCUGGUCUGAGAGGAUGAUCAGCCACACUGGAACUGAGACACGGUCCAGACUCCUACGGGAGGCAGCAGUGGGGAAUUUUGCGCAAUGGGGGAAACCCUGACGCAGCAACGCCGCGUGAGUGAUGAAGGCUUUCGGGUCGUAAAGCUCUGUCAGAGGGGAAGAAAUGGAAACGGUUAAUACCCGUUUUUCUUGACGGUACCCUCAAAGGAAGCACCGGCUAACUCCGUGCCAGCAGCCGCGGUAAUAC
Molecule: ribosomal RNA, 539 nt
Filed under: uncultured Geobacteraceae bacterium
Lineage: Bacteria; Pseudomonadati; Thermodesulfobacteriota; Desulfuromonadia; Geobacterales; Geobacteraceae
Description: bacterial SSU rRNA
Rfam family: Bacterial small subunit ribosomal RNA
Source: RNAcentral